UUAAACUGAAGAGUUUGAUCAUGGCUCAGAUUGAACGCUGGCGGCAGGCUUAACACAUGCAAGUCG
Molecule: ribosomal RNA, 66 nt
Filed under: Acinetobacter sp. ANC 5600
Lineage: Bacteria; Pseudomonadati; Pseudomonadota; Gammaproteobacteria; Moraxellales; Moraxellaceae
Description: partial 16S ribosomal RNA
Rfam family: Bacterial small subunit ribosomal RNA
Source: RNAcentral